Non-coding RNA from Punica granatum (pomegranate), 462 nucleotides. Lineage: Eukaryota; Viridiplantae; Streptophyta; Magnoliopsida; Myrtales; Lythraceae. The record is from RefSeq and is a predicted model, not a curated record.
CAGCAUAACCAUACUUCGAUGUGCUGUACUUCCUGUGAACCCCAGUAAGCUUCCCAGUUGCAGCCUUCUGAUGGAAAGUUACCAUCAUUCUAGAGCAUUCCCUGCAGAAACCGGAGAAAAUGAGAUAUCAGUCACAAAGGAGGUCUUGCUCCACUCUCUGAACCUGGAAAUAGCACACUGAGCUGUGUAGACAGCGGCAGCAGCUAAUAAAGAUGGUGGGAACUUGAGCAUCUCGUACUCGACCAGGCAAAGCUCGAUUAUGAAGAAGGAGAGAAGUUCAAGCUGUUCACAUCAAAUAAAGUGAGAUGAGUACAUAUUAUUCCGCUCUACGAUCAAAACAGAACAAUCUCAUUAUUAUUGUCAACCUUCUUGUCUGAUUGAGCAGCUUUAAGGAACCUCCUCAUGAAAACAUAUGGAGUAGGAACCGACAUAUUGAAUUGCAAUGUGUUCACCAUUAGCCUC